UACGGAGGGGGCUAGCGUUGUUCGGAAUUACUGGGCGUAAAGGGCGCGUAGGCGGCCUUCUAAGUCGGACGUGAAAUCCCUCGGCUUAACCGAGGAACUGCGUCCGAUACUGAAAGGCUUGAAUCCGGGAGAGGGAUGUGGAAUUCCAGGUGUAGCGGUGAAAUGCGUAGAUAUCUGGAGGAACACCGGUGGCGAAGGCGGCAUCCUGGACCGGCAUUGACGCUGAGGCGCGAAAGCUAGGGGAGCAAACGGG
RNAcentral lists this ribosomal RNA (253 nucleotides) under uncultured bacterium. RNAcentral describes it as "partial 16S ribosomal RNA". It matches the Rfam family "Bacterial small subunit ribosomal RNA", at positions 524 to 776 of the family's 1533-position model. The record is from RNAcentral.